AGCGACCCUCCCAGCUCAGCCUCCCAAGUAGAUGGGACUACAGUGAAAGCACAUGUAUAUUACAGUGCACAUCUAUCGGCAUCUUCCAUGAGGUCAGGAUAUUUCUGAAGCCCGUCUGGUUGUACCACUGCAAGAGCCUGGGAGUACAACACAGUGCAUUUUCCUAGAGGGCCAACUUACUUAGUGAUGUGAGUACUAUGGUUCCUGGAAAGUCCUUCUACCUCCGGUUCCAGGGAAGAAACAACUGACCUGUGCUAUGACAAUGUUUUCCAUCACCAUGUGUUUUCAAUUACCAGAUGUUUCCAUUUCCACAGUGAUGGUUCAGGGCUCGUGACCUGACAAGGAAAUCUACGGACAAUCACUAGCAUCUGGUUGCUGAUUACAGAAACUCUCAGUCAAAUUGGCUAAAAUAAUAAGGACGUUUGUUUUCUCUUACAAUAUGAAGUCUAAAGGUAGAGCAAUCCCAGCCAUACCAUGGUAAGGGCUCCAGGACUCAGCUUUGCCUUCUCCACAGGUUGAUGUUGUCCUCAGGAUGAUUUUCCUUGUGAUCACAAGAAGGCUGCUGGCAGCAGCUAGGGUGACAUACUUCCUUUCUCAUCCCACGUGAAAGAGAGAGGGAGCCUCCUGCCCUUUGAUAUAACUGUGCUAAUUUAGGACAUAUGCUCAACCUGAGCCAACCACAGACCAAGGGAAAAUCUUUCCUGAGUAGCUUAUGCCUUAAUUCCUGACUUAAUCAUUAUAGUAAGAGGAAUAAAACAGUAAGAUUGGAGUACACCAGUCAGGAUCCUGGAGAUGGAACGAGUAUCCAAAAUGGGCAGUGUUCUCUCAGAAAGGCAGAAGUUAGAGGUGGAGAAAUGAAUGUUAAUGCAAAAAGAUGUUAAAAUCUAUGUGUUAACUAAGACAGCAAUACUAUCAGUGAGUUGUAAGAGAUUACUUGGCAGAAAUUUCAAAGUAGGUGGCAGAGAUGGCAGAGAACUGAUUAGAUGAAUCAAUUAUAUUAAGUACAUAAAAUGGUAGACAGAGUAGUAAUUGAGAGAGGAUUUGGUAUGAAAGGAUUUUAAAGAAAGAGAUGCUGGUGUGCUGUGAGUCUCAAGCUCCUACCCUAAGCGGGUUGAGUGUCAAAUCUUAGCAGAAGCUGAGUAAGUAAGGCUGCGUUGGAAUCACUUGGAUAGUGUGCUGUUUCCUUUGCAGUUAGAGAAUCAGUGUGGAUGUGACUUGACUUUCACCCUGGAAAAUCUAGAGGCUGGAGGUGGGCUGGCAUGCUGUUUUGGAGGCAGAGUGAAGGAGGAUUGCUGCUAUAAUGGGUUGGAUAUGUAUUCACACAGUUUUGGGAACAAGGAAUGUGUGAAUGUUUCCUGUGGCCUGGAUGUGGGUGGUAGAUAUGCAAUAGAGAGGCGCUAUGGAAAUCAUCUUAGAUCCUUUCCAUUACAUACAUCAGAGGAACAAUGACCCUCACAAAAAUGAAACUGAAGUGGGUCCCCCAUUCCCUAGAGCUUGAAGAGGCAUGAAGUGCAGGAAUGGUGUGCAUUUGCCCAGAUCAGAGAAACUGCAGGUGAAAAACCACCGUGAUAUUCAGUUCUCUAAAGAAACCCCAAAGUGAGUCAACUUUAAACAUCUGCCAGACCCAGCAAGUGUGAAGCCAUCUUACAAUAUUACCAGUCAAAUGAGGACUCUCCUAUCCUCUUUCCUUUCUAAGCUCCUUGAUCACCAGUCCCAGAGGGGUCAAUAGCUGGAACGCAAGCUAGAGAAAGAAGAACAGAGAAGAGAAGAAGAACCAGCUUCUUUAAUCUCUGCAAGUGGCCAGCCUAUAGCAGGCUCUAAUUUAGUUGUGGGAGGGGAGAAGAUUUUAAAUUUAAUCAAGUUUAGAAUUGUAAUUAUUAUCUGGGACCAAAGAUUUAAAUGAUUGAAUUGACGCUGUGUUUACAUCCUAAAGUGACUUUUAAACUUUUUUAUUAGUUACAAGAGACCUAAAAUCAUGAACGAUCUGGGAUUUUUCAUCCUGGAGCCACUUUACCUUGGCCAUGAUCUGCGUAAGAAAAAGGGAUACUUUGCACCAUGUCUGUCAAUAACCAGGGAACUAAUGACUAGACCCUGAGACCUCUGCUACAGAUGCUCAGAAAAACAAGUGUCCUGACUACUGUGCUUGCACAAAGCAGCAGCAGCAGCAGGAGCAGCAGCAGUGUGACCUCUUAUGCAUGAUGUUCACUUCCUCCCAAAUCUGGCAUGGGGCUAUCUGCCUGACAGAAUUGAGAUCAGGUGCAGAACCAGAGCUGAAGGGAGAUUGAGGAUGUAGUCUUGCCUUUCUAUUCUCAGGUAUGCAGCAUGCACAGCCAUGCAAGGAGUUGGCACGGAAUCAAGGCAACCAGCCUGCAGUGUCUGACAGAGUGCUCACACCGCACACCUGGCAAUCUAUGUCCGGGGUAGUUUCACCACAUAAAUGUGUUUACUCAAGAGAAAAUUUAUAAGAAAUUGUCCACUUCAUGGCCUCACUAGACCUGGAAGCUGACUACUCACUGCCAUCCGGGUGUGACCCCCUCACUGUCUCCUGCUAAGUGCCAGCUGUUCCCUAGACCCACUGUUUCCUUAAACAACGAAGCUUCUCUUCACAGGUCUAAUCAGAGAGCAUUCAUACCUUAUCCAAUUGAUAUGGUUUGGCUGUGUCCCCACCCAAAUCUCAUCUUGAAUUGUAAUCCCCAUAAUCCCCAUUUGUUGAGGGAGGGAGGUGAUUGGAUCAUGGGGUUGGUUCCUUUAUGCUGUUUUUGUGAUAGUGAGUGAGUGAGUUCUCAUGAGAUCUGAUGGUUUUAAAAGUGUCUAGCAUUUCCCCUGCUCGCAGUUCUCUCUCCUGCCACCUUGUGAAGAAGGUGCCUGCUUCCCCUUCACCUUCUGCCAUGAUUAUGUUUCCUGAAGCCUCCUCAGCCAUGCGGAACUGUGAGUCAAUUAAACUUAUUUCUUUUAUGAAUCACCUAGUCUUGGAUAGUAUCUUUAUAGCAGUGGGAGAAUGGACUAAUACACCCAUUCUCUGGGGCCCAGCUGAAGAGCUGCACCCUCCAGGAGCCUUUCCUUAGGCUUUCCACCUGGCUCCUUUGAGCACCUGCUUUUCUGUGAUUUCACAGCAUGUCCUGCCCAGAACAUCAUUUUUUUUUACACUGAAUUGUGUAAACUUUGCUUUGUUUGCUCAUUACUUCAUUCAUUCAUUUAACAAACAUGUAAGGACCCAUUCAAGGUGCUUUGCCGGGUGCUAGGUGGUGAACAAAAUAGGCAUGGUCCCUGUCCUAUUAAAGUUUACAGACUUGUAUGGAGGAGACAGACAUUGAACAAGUAAGCAAAUAUGUAAAUAUAAAAUCCAGAUUGCAAUAAGAGUUAUGAAGGAAAAUUACAAAGUGCUUUGAGAGAGUAAAUCAAGGGUCUGUCUUAAGUUGGGUGGUCGGAGGAGUUGGCCCCUAGGAGGUAAUAUUUAAAACAGGAAGUGUAAGUAGGGGUUAGAUACAUGAGCAGUAGGAGGAAAAACAUUCCAGGCAGAAGGAAUUAUAUGUUUAAAGACCUUGAGUCAGGGGAGAGAGCAAAGCAUUUUGGGAAUUAAAAGGACAGUAUGUUUGGGCAUGGUGGCAGAGGGUCAGUAGCAGGAGUGAGAAGAGCUUAGAAAUAUAAGCAGAUCAGCCAGGCGCGGUGGCUCAUGCCUGUAAUCCCAGCACUUUGGGAGGCCUAAGUGGGCGGAUCACAAGGUCAGGAGAUCGAGAUCAUCCUGGUUAACACGGUGAAACCCUGUCUCUACUAAAAAUAUAAAAAAUUAGCCAGGCGUGGUGGCGAGCGCCUGUAGUUCCCGCUACUCGGGAGGCUGAGGCAGGAGAAUGGCGUGAACCCGGGAGGCGGAGCUUGCAGUGAGCCGAGAUCGCGCCACUGCACUCCAUCCCGCCUGGGCGACAGAACAAGAGU
This 3933-nucleotide long non-coding RNA is filed under the name Homo sapiens (human). Its description in RNAcentral is "HSALNT0364386". The record is from RNAcentral. Lineage: Eukaryota; Metazoa; Chordata; Mammalia; Primates; Hominidae.